Cicer arietinum (chickpea) is the source of this 566-nucleotide non-coding RNA. Lineage: Eukaryota; Viridiplantae; Streptophyta; Magnoliopsida; Fabales; Fabaceae. The record is from RefSeq and is a predicted model, not a curated record.
UCAACUAUGGCAGUGACUGGGGGACUUGUUCUAGGAUAAACAAAUGACUCCAAACAAGAACCUCAGGGCAGCCAAUCCUAAGAAAAGAGGUGAACCUGAAGCAGUAAGAGUAAGCGUUCAGGUGCUGGUGCUAUGACCUUUUUUCCACCUUUUUUCGAAUCGAAUGAUGCAACGUUCUUAGAAAGCGUAUCAAAAGGUGUUCCUAUUCAAUGAUUGAAUGAUCAACACACCUCCUUUCUAUUGAUUAUCUUCAACAAAAUCACCCACAUUCAACUGCCACGUGAAUGAAGAAUCAAGUUGUUGACCCAUUAUUUGUUCACUUUCAACAAGGUCGCAAGGCCUUAUGAUCGUCGUAGUGGUGGUCUAAAACAAUUGGUCUAAAACAACAUAGAAUAUUUCUAUGAUCUACGCAUCGAAAUCAUCGUCCUACACCCUUCAUUUAUAUUUUUACCAACGUUCAUGAAAACUCAUCUCAACCGGCCCUACGUGUCAUCGCGGUUACCCAUAAAUAUUGUUUCGAGUCUUCCAUGAACCACUGUCGAAUAAAUUAUUUUAGAUUGCUCCGA